Molecule: small nuclear RNA, 30 nt
Filed under: Arabidopsis thaliana (thale cress)
Lineage: Eukaryota; Viridiplantae; Streptophyta; Magnoliopsida; Brassicales; Brassicaceae
Description: snRNA_03665
Source: RNAcentral
UUCAACCAAGCGCGGGUAAACGGCGGGAGU